UCCUUUAACGAGGAACAACUGGAGGGCAAGUCUGGUGCCAGCAGCCGCGGUAACUCCAGCUCCAGAAGCGUAUAUUAAAGUUGUUGCAGUUAAAAAGCUCGUAGUUGGAUCUGGGUCGCAUGGCUCCGUACCGUCGCUUGUGUUCUCGGCUCUCGGGUCGAUUCACGAGUCGGUUGCGUAGCUGUGUAGCCUUUCUGCCGUGUCUGUAUUAACAGGUGUCGAUGGUUCGCCCGUUGGCAUGCUUCCAGAUGCCUUUAACCGGGUGUCGGGAGCGGACGGCACGUUUACUUUGAACAAAUUUGAGUGCUCAAAGCAGGCUUUUGCCUGAAAAUUCUUGCAUGGAAUAAUGGAAUAGGACUUCGGUUCUAUUUUGUUGGUUUUCGGAUCCGAAGUAAUGGUUAAGAGGGACAGACGGGGGCAUUUGUAUGGCGGUGUUAGAGGUGAA
This 445-nucleotide ribosomal RNA is filed under the name Microphallus sp. HAP18. RNAcentral's name for it is "SSU rRNA". It matches the Rfam family "Eukaryotic small subunit ribosomal RNA", at positions 530 to 915 of the family's 1831-position model. Lineage: Eukaryota; Metazoa; Platyhelminthes; Trematoda; Plagiorchiida; Microphallidae. The record is from RNAcentral.